Molecule: ribosomal RNA, 696 nt
Filed under: uncultured phototrophic eukaryote
Lineage: Eukaryota
Description: bacterial SSU rRNA
Rfam family: Bacterial small subunit ribosomal RNA
Source: RNAcentral
UGCAGUCGUACGAGAGUUUUAACUCAAGUGGCGGACGGGUGAGUAACACGUAAGAAUUUACCUUUAGGAGGGGGACAACAACUGGAAACGGUUGCUAAUACCCCAUAUGCUUUCGAGUGAAAUGGAUUUCCGCCUAGAGAGAAGCUUGCGGCUGAUUAGCUUGUUGGUGAGGUAAUGGCUCACCAAGGCGACGAUCAGUAUCUGGUUUGAGAGGACGAUCAGACACACUGGAACUGAGACACGGUCCAGACUCCUACGGGAGGCAGCAGUGGGGAAUUUUCCGCAAUGGGCGAAAGCCUGACGGAGCAAUACCGCGUGAGGGAUGACGGCCUAUGGGUUGUAAACCUCUUUUUUCAGGGAGGAAUCAAUGACGUGUACCUGAAGAAUAAGCAUCGGCUAACUCCGUGCCAGCAGCCGCGGUAAGACGGAGGAUGCAAGUGUUAUCCGGAAUCACUGGGCGUAAAGCGUCUGUAGGUGGUUUAAUAAGUCAACUGUUAAAUCUUGAGGCUCAACCUCAAAAUCGCAGUCGAAACUAUUAGACUAGAGUAUAGUAGGGGUAAAGGGAAUUUCCAGUGGAGCGGUGAAAUGCGUAGAUAUUGGAAGGAACACCGAUGGCGAAGGCACUUUACUGGGCUAUUACUAACACUCAGAGACGAAAGCUAGGGUAGCAAAUGGGAUUAGAUACCCUGGUAGUCC